GGGAGAUGAGAGCUAAAGAUCUUGUGAAGGAGAUUGGCAGCUUCGUAAAGGUUGUCCAUGGAAACGCACUCGGCGCAUUGAAGCAAUAGACUAAUAGUCUAAGACUUGUAGACUCCAUGGAAGCCUUGCUAGAGAAGUUAGGUCGUUUGGCAAAAGGGUCGUCUGUGUUGCCUAAGAAGGUCACCAACUCUCUGUAGACGUAGUUCAACUUCAUGAAGGAAGUAGAAUUGUUUGAGUUAGAACUAAAAUUGUUGGCGAUUGAGGAACUAAGCUU
Molecule: unclassified non-coding RNA, 274 nt
Filed under: Hevea brasiliensis (rubber tree)
Lineage: Eukaryota; Viridiplantae; Streptophyta; Magnoliopsida; Malpighiales; Euphorbiaceae
Source: RNAcentral